This 497-nucleotide ribosomal RNA is filed under the name uncultured bacterium. Its description in RNAcentral is "partial 16S ribosomal RNA". It matches the Rfam family "Bacterial small subunit ribosomal RNA", at positions 28 to 507 of the family's 1533-position model. The record is from RNAcentral.
GAUGAACGCUGGCGGCGUGCCUAAUACAUGCAAGUCGAGCGAACGGACGAGAAGCUUGCUUCUCUGAUAUUAGCGGCGGACGGGUGAGUAACGCGUGGAUAACCUACCUAUAAGACUGGGAUAACUUCGGGAAACCGUAGCUAAUACCGGAUAAUAUUUUGAACCGCAUGGUUCAAAAGUGAAAGACGGUCUUGCUGUCACUUAUAGAUGGAUCCGCGCUGCAUUAGCUAGUUGGUAAGGUAACGGCUUACCAAGGCAACGAUGCAUAGCCGACCUGAGAGGGUGAUCGGCCACACUGGAACUGAGACACGGUCCAGACUCCUACGGGAGGCAGCAGUAGGGAAUCUUCCGCAAUGGGCGAAAGCCUGACGGAGCAACGCCGCGUGAGUGAUGAAGGUCUUCGGAUCGUAAAACUCUGUUAUUAGGGAAGAACAUAUGUGUAAGUAACUGUGCACAUCUUGACGGUACCUAAUCAGAAAGCCACGGCUAACUACGUG